AUACGGAGGGUGCAAGCGUUAUUCGGAAUCACAGGGCGUAAAGGACGCGUAGGCGGGUUGGCAAGUCAGAUGUGAAAUCCUACAGCUUAACUGUAGAACUGCAUUUGAAACUGCUAACCUAGAGUAUGGGAGGGGGAGAUGGAAUUAGUGGUGUAGGGGUAAAAUCCGUAGAUAUCACUAGGAAUACCGAAAGCGAAGGCGAUCUCCUGGAACAUAACUGACGCUAAGGCGUGAAAGCGUGGGGAGCAAACAGGAUUAGAAACCCUAGUAGUCC
This 274-nucleotide ribosomal RNA is filed under the name uncultured bacterium. RNAcentral describes it as "partial 16S ribosomal RNA". It matches the Rfam family "Bacterial small subunit ribosomal RNA", at positions 523 to 796 of the family's 1533-position model. The record is from RNAcentral.